This is a long non-coding RNA of Salvelinus namaycush (lake trout), 444 nucleotides long. RefSeq lists it as uncharacterized. The transcript is spliced from 3 exons. NCBI's taxonomy places the organism in Eukaryota, Metazoa, Chordata, Actinopteri, Salmoniformes, Salmonidae. The record is from RefSeq and is a predicted model, not a curated record.
GUCUUAUACUCUAGUGUGGGGAUAUUCUAGGUCUUAUACUCUACUUUGGGGAUAUUCGAGGUCUUAUACUCUAGUGUGGGGAUACUCUAGGUCUUAUACUCUACUUUGGGGAUAUUCGAGGUCUUAUACUCUAGUGUGGGGAUACUCUAGGUCUUAUACUCUACUUUGGGGAUAUUCGAGGUCUUAUACUCUAGUGUGGGGAUAUUCUAGGUCUUAUACUCUACUUUGGGGAUAUUCUUGGUCUUAUACUUUAGUGUGGGGAUACUCUAGUGUGGGGAUAUUCUUGGUCUUAUACUCUAGUGUGGGGAUACUCUAGGUCUUAUAUUCUACUUUGGGGAUAUUCGAGGUCUUAUACUCUAGUGUGGGGAUAUUCUAGGUCUUAUACUCUACUUUGGGGAUAUUCUUGGUCUUAUACUCUAGUGUGGGGAUACUCUAGUGUGGGGA